RNAcentral lists this ribosomal RNA (377 nucleotides) under uncultured bacterium. RNAcentral's name for it is "bacterial SSU rRNA". It matches the Rfam family "Bacterial small subunit ribosomal RNA", at positions 523 to 898 of the family's 1533-position model. The record is from RNAcentral.
AUACGGAGGGUGCGAGCGUUAUUCGGAAUGAUUGGGCGUAAAGGGCGCGUAGGCGGCCUGGUAAGUCUGGAGUGAAAGUCCUGCUUUUAAGGUGGGAAUUGCUUUGGAUACUGUCGGGCUUGAGUGCAGGAGAGGUAAGCGGAAUUCCCGGUGUAGCGGUGAAAUGCGUAGAGAUCGGGAGGAACACCAGUGGCGAAGGCGGCUUACUGGACUGUAACUGACGCUGAAGCGCGAAAGUGUGGGGAGCAAACAGGAUUAGAUACCCUGGUAGUCCACACUGUAAACGAUGAAUGCUAGGUGUAGGGGGUAUCGACCCUUUCUGUUCCGGAGUCAACACAAUAAGCAUUCCGCCUGGGGAGUACGGCCGCAAGGUUGAA